Small nucleolar RNA from Pangasianodon hypophthalmus (striped catfish), 77 nucleotides. RefSeq annotates it as small nucleolar RNA SNORD66. The record is from RefSeq and is a predicted model, not a curated record. NCBI's taxonomy places the organism in Eukaryota, Metazoa, Chordata, Actinopteri, Siluriformes, Pangasiidae. The transcript has a single exon.
CUCUGAUGAUGAUCUCAGUUUUGUGCCACGUGUCUGGGCCACUGAUUAAACCCUGAUGGAACUGAGGAACUGAGGAG